Molecule: long non-coding RNA, 228 nt
Filed under: Elaeis guineensis (African oil palm)
Lineage: Eukaryota; Viridiplantae; Streptophyta; Magnoliopsida; Arecales; Arecaceae
Description: long non-coding RNA (EGUI_LNC040437)
Source: RNAcentral
UCCUUCAUCGUAUAUGAACAACUAUCCAUCCUGAACAGAUAAGGAUCUAGUGUAACAGUCUCCCCUAAUCUUGUGGGAGUGAUUAAGGGCUGAAUUAUCUCAUCAAAUAUGGCAAUCUCAAAUGGCCUGACAAUCUCGAGAUCAUGCGAUCUCACAGCUAACAAUCCAGCUAUCCGAUAUUCUUCUAUAUAAACAAUCAGAGUCCCGAGGAUCCAGGUGAGUCAAAUC